AGGGAAUACUGCAAAAUGGGCGAUAGCCCGAUGCAGCAACGCCGCGUGGGCGAUGAAGGCCUUCGGGUCGUAAAGCCCUUUUUGAGGGGAUGAGGAAGGACAGUACCCUCAGAAUAAGCCUCGGCUAACUACGUGCCAGCAGCCGCGGUAAAACGUAGGAGGCGAGCGUUAUCCGGAUUUACUGGGCGUAAAGCGCGUGCAGGCGGAUUGGAGAGUUGGAUGUGAAAGCUCCCGGCUUAACUGGGAGAGGUCGUUCAAUACUUCCAGUCUUGAGUGCAGUCGAGGGAAGUGGAAUUCCGGGUGUAGUGGUGAAAUGCGUAGAUAUCCGGAGGCACACCAGUGGCGAAAGCGGCUUCCUGGACUGUAACUGACGCUCAGACGCGAAAGCUAGGGUAGCAAACG
Molecule: ribosomal RNA, 402 nt
Filed under: uncultured bacterium
Lineage: Bacteria
Description: bacterial SSU rRNA
Rfam family: Bacterial small subunit ribosomal RNA
Source: RNAcentral